Astatotilapia calliptera (eastern happy) is the source of this 1320-nucleotide long non-coding RNA. Lineage: Eukaryota; Metazoa; Chordata; Actinopteri; Cichliformes; Cichlidae. The record is from Ensembl.
GCCAAUCAUGUAUGUGGGCUCCAGAAAUUCAAAUUUUCAAAUCAGGGCCUGCACGGUUUCCCAGCCAAUCAUAUAUGUGUCCUGAGGCAUUCAAAUUUGCAUAUUGGGGCCUUCAUGGCUUCUAAGCCAGCCAAUCAUAUCUGAGGGCUGAGGAAUUCAAAUCCACAAAUCAGGGCCUGCACAGCUUCCCAGCCAGCCAAUCAUGUAUGUGGGCUCCAGGUAUUCAAAUUUGCAUAUUGGGGAAUUCGUGGCUUCUAAGUCAACAAGUCAUCCAUGUCAUAUAUCUCUAAAAAUUCAUAUUUUAAUGAAAAAUUGUCAACACUUGAAGAUUCUCCCAUCUCUUCUGAACAAAACGGUGUAAGAAUGACCGCUCUAGCCCCUAUGGUUAGGAAAUUAUGGUCAUUUGUUUGAGGGGAAUCCUCACUAUGUGAAAUAAACUGAAAGAAGCAGGUCUAUGUCUCAGUGCUGCGUGUGUAAAAAGAUGCACCUUUUUUGGCGGGAAAACGUAAACAGCCUCUCUGAUUGGUGGAUUCAAAUUCAGCAGCUCCCAGGCUGACCUAGAAACUUACUUCUCUCUCCCUGUGUGUGUGUGUGUGUGUGUGUGUGUGUGUGUGUGUGUGUGUGUGUGUGUGUGUGUGUGUGUGUGUGUGUGUGUGUGUGUGUGUGUGUGUGUGUGUGUGUGUUUAGUGGGAGAGAGAGGACCCUGCCCUUAUUUGACAGCAUGUCAUUGUAGGAUUUAAAUUGAACAUAGUUAGACUGGUUGACUGGAUUAGAGCCUGUGUUUGUGUGUCCCUCUGUGCAUUUGUGUUUCAAUAAGUUAUUACUAUUCUGCUAAAUCAUAGUAUUUCUGGUACUUUUCGGUACUUGUGCUAAAUACAGUAUUUCUGCUUUUCAUAGGAUUUAUGCCUAAUAUAGUAUUUCUGCUAAAUUAUAGUAUUUCUGCUUUUUAUAGGAUUUGUGCUUAACAUAGUAUUUCUGCUAAAUUAUAGUAUUUCUGCUUUUUAUACUAUUUGUUCUAAAUUAUAGUAUUUCUGCUUUUUAUAGGAUUUGUGCUUAAUAUAGUAUUUCUGCUAAAUUAUAGUUUUUCUUCUUUUUAUAAUAUUUGUGCUAAAACAUAGUAUUUCUACUAAAUGUAGUAUUUAUGCUUAAUAAUAGUAUUUCUAUAUAUUUCUGCCAGGUCCCCAGGCAGCCAAUCCUCUGUGAGGACUGAGACAUUCAAAUUUUCAAAUCAGGGCCUGCACAGUUUCCCAGCCAAUCAAAUAAGUGUCCUGAGGCAUUCAAAUUUGCAUAUUGGGGCCUUCGUGGCUUCUAAGCCAGCCA